RNAcentral lists this ribosomal RNA (253 nucleotides) under uncultured bacterium. RNAcentral's name for it is "partial 16S ribosomal RNA". It matches the Rfam family "Bacterial small subunit ribosomal RNA", at positions 524 to 776 of the family's 1533-position model. The record is from RNAcentral.
UACAGAGGGGGCAAGCGUUGUUUGGAAUUACUGGGCGUAAAGGGCGCGUAGGCGGCCCGCUAAGUCGAACGUGAAAUCCCCGGGCUCAACCCGGGAACUGCGUCCGAUACUGGCAGGCUUGAAUCCGGGAGAGGGAUGUGGAAUUCCAGGUGUAGCGGUGAAAUGCGUAGAUAUCGUAAGGAAGACCAGUGGCGAAGGCGGGUCUCUGGACAGUUCCUGACGCUGAGGCACGAAGGCCAGGGGAGCAAACGGG